CCCUUAGAUGUUCUGGGCCGCACGCGCGCUACACUGAUACGUUCAGCGAGUAUAUAACCUUGAUUGGAAAAUCUGGGUAAUCUUUUGAAUGCGUAUCGUGCUAGGGAUAGAUUAUUGCAAUUAUUAAUCCUGAACGAGGAAUUCCUAGUAAACGCAAGUCAUCAGCUUGCAUUGAUUACGUCCCUGCCCUUUGUACACACCGCCUGUCGCACAAACCGAUUGAAUGAUUCGGUGAAAAUUUUGGACAUCGAGAGUGGUGAUUAAUUUCGCUGCUCUUAAAUGGAAAGAAUUUAAACCUAAUUAUUUAGAGGAUUGUGAAGUCAUAACA
RNAcentral lists this ribosomal RNA (328 nucleotides) under uncultured eukaryote. Its description in RNAcentral is "partial 18S ribosomal RNA". It matches the Rfam family "Eukaryotic small subunit ribosomal RNA", at positions 1470 to 1796 of the family's 1831-position model. The record is from RNAcentral.